GCACAAGCGGUGGAGCAUGUGGUUAAUUCGAAGCAACGCGAAGACCUACAGUCUUGACAUCCCGAUGCUAUUUCUAGAGAUAGAAAGUUACUUCGGUACAUCGGUGACAGGUGGUGCAUGGUUGUCGUCAGCUCGUGUCGUGAGAUGUUGGGUUAAGUCCCGCAACGAGCGCAACCCCUAUUGUUAGUUGCCAUCAUUCAGUUGGGCACUCUAGCGAGACUGCCGGUAAUAAACCGGAGGAAGGUGGGGAUGACGUCAAAUCAUCAUGCCCCUUAUGACCUGGGCUACACACGUGCUACAAUGGUUGGUACAACGAGUUGCGAGUCGGUGACGGCGAGCUAAUCUCUUAAAGCCAAUCUCAGUUCGGAUUGUAGGCUGCAACUCGCCUACAUGAAGUCGGAAUCGCUAGUAAUCGCGGAUCAGCACGCCGCGGUGAAUACGUUCCCGGGCCUU
This 453-nucleotide ribosomal RNA is filed under the name uncultured Streptococcus sp. RNAcentral describes it as "bacterial SSU rRNA". It matches the Rfam family "Bacterial small subunit ribosomal RNA", at positions 923 to 1382 of the family's 1533-position model. The record is from RNAcentral. Lineage: Bacteria; Bacillati; Bacillota; Bacilli; Lactobacillales; Streptococcaceae.